Molecule: RNA transcript, 2276 nt
Organism: Pyrgilauda ruficollis (rufous-necked snowfinch)
Lineage: Eukaryota; Metazoa; Chordata; Aves; Passeriformes; Passeridae
Exons: 4
Source: RefSeq, a predicted model, not a curated record
CCACGACCCCAGCGCGCUUGUCCCGCCCGCCUUCCAGCGCCGCAGGCUGAGGGAUCGGCAGCGGGAUCGGGAUCGGCCCAGCGGGGCUGGCGGCUGUGAGGGGGCGCGGGGGCUGCAAGCGCUGUGGGUUUCCCUGCCCGCCUUGGCUCCUGCCGCGUUCUUGUGCUUGUUCUUCCCCGGAGCUCUCGAGGUGUUGCUCACACGCCGCCUCUGCAGGGUAGGAAGUGCCUUUGCUUCGGAGGCCAGGGAAGGAGAAACAGCAGUCUGAGACACCCAUGUCACCUUGGGGUAGAAGUCAUUCUGGAUGAAUCUGUGUGAAUAAAGAAACCGAGGAAUAGAGUGGUAACCUCGCAGAUUACCCAUCUGGGUGACCUACAGAAACAAGAAUAAAGUCCAUUUUUUUUGAGAUCUAAUCCAGUGCUUUGCAACAUAAACUAUUUUAACUCUUGCAAACAUUAUGGAAAUGAUUGCUAGGAUCCCAAAUUGUGGAGACUGAGGAGCUUACACUGAUGAAAUAGUAGGCAACCUGACAGUCAGGUUGUAGAUCUUAAGAAGAAUAUUCUUCCCAAGAACAUGGGUGGCAGUCAGAUCAAAGGCCUAAAGAUCCACUAUAAAGUAGUAUUUUAUUAUUAAAACGAGUAUUUCUCAUUUUUAGGCAUAUUUGUUAUUCAUUAAGUUAGGUUGUAGUCUUUCCAAAAACCUUUAUGAUAGCCUGUGUCUGACUCUUGUUAUGUAGAAUGCAUUAUGACUUCACACAUUUUUAAGUUUUCUGUGAAGUUUUGUAAGAAUAUAUUAUAAAAUAGGCCACUUUAAUCUUCUUGGUCAUUUCUCCUGGACCUUGUGCAAUUGUACCUCACAAAGAGUUGUCACCUCCAAAUUCAUUUUCCAUAAUUCACAGAGGCCUGAAUAUGCAAUUAUCUCAAAAGGGAAAAGAUUCAUUUACUCUUCUGCAGAACAUAAACUCUCCUGAAAAUAACCACCAAUUGAAGGCACUUGUAUACAGGCUCCUUUUAUAGUAAACCACUGGGUGCCUCAGCUCCAGAAGCAGCAAGAAAGAUAACAACUCAAUUAACAAAAACUGCUGCUUUGAGAAAUGUGGUUUCCAUCUCAAAGUUAUUUUAUUCAUUCCUAAUUUUACAUUGCUGAAAACUGUUAACCAUUAUUAGAGGCAAAUAAGUCUGAGAUUUGGGGGUUUGGCUGGUUUUGCUUGCUGUAAGCUUCACAGGUAUACACCUCCACCUCCAUAAUGAUCUUUUCUUUUUCUAAUCCUAGAUGGUGUAUAUUUUGUUUGUACCCAACUUUCCCUUCUAUUUGUAAAAUAAUGUGUGAAAUGUUCAAAGCAUUAGUGAUUUAGGAGCAGUGAAGAUAUUAAUUCCUCAGAAACACGUCAUUGUUACAUACAGUUGUGUUUGUUGUGCUGAGCAGGCCCAGCUGCGUUACAGAGGGAGUUAUAAAUAAGGCAAAAUAACUGUAUUAGAGCAGCUUGGCCAAAAGCUUGUCCCUGUAUUUCUACAUGGAAAAUAAAGGAUAGAUGUAUGUACUGUCUGAAUAGAGAACAUGAUGUGCCAAAAUAAAUCCAAUAGUAUUUUAUUGGAAAAGUAAACUUAAUUUUGGAUUUUUAAAAAAUGGAACAUGCCAUGUAUAAAAUACAUAUUUGAUCAAGAUCAUUUCCUCUGGUAAUGUUCCUUCUGAGGUGAGAGUUUUAAUGACAAGGAAAAGAUACUUCUACAUCUAUGGAAUUUAAAGCCUGCUGCUGUCAAGUGGCCAGGACCCUUAAAUGUGUGUUGAAGUGUCCUACUCUUAGUAAAUUAAAAAUGUUUAUACUUUCUGUCUCAAGUAGUAGAAAGAACACCAGCAACUGCUUCCAUGUUUAAAAUUCUGUGGAGUCUGCUACCUGUGAGCAGACUCCACUUAAAUAAAGUCUCUGGAAUUACUAAUUGCUAACCUCAUUCUUGACAUUCUUCAGCCUCCAACAGCCUGCUGCAACUUCUGUUACACCUUCUGGGAUUCUAUCUAUAGCAAUUGCUUUCUCUCCCCAGUUGGCUCCAAGCCAGAAAUAUAUCCAUUUGCACAAAUGCUUUUUAACCUUGUUCACACUGGGAUGGGGGGAGAAGAGGGGAGUCAUAUUUUUUCUUUCUGCUUGUCUAGUUUGUGGAUACUUUUAUAGUAAAUUCAGUACUUGCCAUGUUCACUCUGUAAUGGCCAAGUGGUUACAAUGCCUUUUCCAAACUACUGUUUGUUUCACUUUAAGUGCACUGAAUAAAACUAUUUCUCCG